GGGGGAAUAGCUCAAUGAUAGAGCACAUGCUUGGCAUGCACGAGGUCCUGGGUUCAAUCCCCAGCACCUCUG
RNAcentral lists this transfer RNA (72 nucleotides) under Camelus bactrianus (Bactrian camel). It matches the Rfam family "tRNA". Rfam says of the family: Transfer RNA (tRNA) molecules are approximately 80 nucleotides in length. Their secondary structure includes four short double-helical elements and three loops (D, anti-codon, and T loops). Lineage: Eukaryota; Metazoa; Chordata; Mammalia; Artiodactyla; Camelidae. The record is from Rfam by way of RNAcentral. RNAcentral also lists the same sequence under 2 other names.